GCGGCUCCAUCGGAAGCUGGCUGUCGUUCACUUCUUCCAUCACCGCAGUGCUGCAGAUGGCAAAAAUCUUCGUGUCAGGCAGACAGAUCGAGCGCCAAGAUAGAAAACCAGAACCUGUCGAUUAAGCACUUUCGACGGGGGGCAGCACGCAGAUGAGAUAUUUCGUCUUACCUCCUAAUCGGUUUGCUGCAAGAACACCAUCCCGACAAAGCGCCGCCUGGUUUCGCUCCACCGCAGAUCUGCACAGGCGACAAUGGCGAUUCAACAGUCCUUAUCCAGAGGUGGGAGGCAGCUCCGCCUUGUUAUUUACUUCCGCCUAUACCGCUGCCUGCCGGAAAGCAGGGUUCCUGAGCCACCGAUCAGGGACACAGAACCAUCCCG
RNAcentral lists this long non-coding RNA (381 nucleotides) under Triticum aestivum (bread wheat). RNAcentral's name for it is "long non-coding RNA (TAES_LNC017022)". The record is from RNAcentral. Lineage: Eukaryota; Viridiplantae; Streptophyta; Magnoliopsida; Poales; Poaceae.